AAAGGUCUGUGUGUCCACAAAAUCCUAACACUCUAAUCUGUAGGUGCUGAUUUGAUUUUCAGCUGAAACUUCCUACGAAGAGAAAUCACCAUACGUGGCUUGUUGGCCCUGGGGGAAUAAGAGCUAAACUUGUCUAAGAGUGAAAUACACAGCUCGAGCAAAAGCUGCAGCAAAGUUCAGCCCUCCUCCUUCCAUUCGUGAUGCACCAGCCGCCACAGAAGGUCUAUUUAAUCAGCUUAAAGAGAAAGAAAAGCCACAGGAGACAUCUGAGCUGGCACAAAUCGUCACCUGAUGCUGGCCAAGCAAGUGCUCUCAUCUCCUGUGGACCAUCUCCUGUGCCGGAAACAGAGGACCAUGAAUGGGAUGAAGAUGUUUGUUUCUAGUUGCUGAAUGACUCUGUGCUUUAGCACACUUCUAAAAGCUGCCCAUGGGUAUAUUGUACACGAUGCAUUUCUGUUUGAAGAGGAAUGUGUGUGCGCUAAAGAGUCUAGAAGAGCAUCAACUUCAUCAGAGUCAUUUACAAGGUCCUCUGAAGGGUUGUUCUGAG
Non-coding RNA from Zootoca vivipara (common lizard), 547 nucleotides. Lineage: Eukaryota; Metazoa; Chordata; Lepidosauria; Squamata; Lacertidae. The record is from RefSeq and is a predicted model, not a curated record.